CUUCUAUCUUCCCUUUGCUUCUUCCUACUGUAACUGCUCUGACCUUGUCCUUGCUGUUGAAUCUUCUCUUCUUCUUAAUCCCAAUUCCAUUCUCUCUGAUCAGGAAAUUGUUUGAGCUCCAAGGAAUUUUCAAGAACGAUGGGAGGAGUUUGUUCUGGAGGGACGAAAGGAAAGCAUGAUAAAGUUGCAGCACAGAAAAAUCCUGGGUUUUCUGGGAAGCUAAACUCAAUUAAGAGCUUUAGCAAGCAUAAAGAGAAUUUUCAUUCCUUUACUAAUAACAAUGAUGAUAAUUUUGGCAAGACUACCACUCCGCAGAGGUAUAAUUCCGGUGAGCUGUUAUUGUCUUUCUCAAGAGAACUUAAGCCGUCAACGCCUGCUAGGGGAGGGGCUGCCAAGGAUGGCCAGAAGAGUUCAUUUAUAGGGAAAGCUGGCACUGUGAGCUUGGAGAAAGCAGUUGACGUUUUAGACACUCUUGGAAGUAGCAUGUCAAAUCUGAAUGCCCGGAGUGGUUUUAUCUCCGGCAUGGCUUCUAGAGGGAACAGAAUAUCAAUAUUGUCAUUUGAAGUAGCCAACACAAUAGCCAAAGGUGCAAACUUGUUUCAAUCGCUUUCAGAAGAAAAUGUUCAGUUCCUGAAGAAAGAAAUAUUACAUUCGGAAGGGGUACAACAAUUGGUUUCCACAGAUAUGAAAGAGUUGCUAAUUCUUGCUGCUGCUGAUAAAAGGGAGGAAUUUGAUGUAUUUGCAAAGGAAGUAAUUCGGUUUGGAGAUCUAUGUAAAGACCCACAAUGGCACAACCUGGGUCGAUAUUUUACAAAAUUAGAUUCAGAUUAUUCCGAUGAUAAACAAUCUAGAGCAGAGGCAGAAACCACAAUGCAAGAGUUGACUACUUUGGCCCAACAUACCUCUGAAUUAUAUCAUGAAUUGCAUGCUUUGGACAGAUUUGAACAAGAUUACCAGCAGAAGCUUGAAGAAGUGGAGUCCUUACAUCUCCCAAAAAAAGGAGAGAGUCUCACGAUUUUACAAAGUGAGCUAAAACAACAAAGAAAGCUUGUGAGGAGCUUGAAAAAGAAAUCCCUGUGGUCUAAAAAUAUGGAGGAGAUCAUGGAGAAGCUUCUUGAUAUAGUUACCUACUUGCACCAAGCUAUCUUAGAUGCAUUUGGAAACAAUGGUGUCAGACCAGCCAGUGAAGAGCCUGAAAAGAAUCCUGAAAGGCUAGGUCCAGCUGGUCUUGCUCUGCACUAUGCUAAUGUUAUUAACCAGAUUGAUACCAUUACAUCUCGUCCCACCUCCCUUCCUCCUAAUACAAGGGACAAUUUGUAUCAUGGGUUGCCAAUCAGUAUUAAGACAGCUCUACGUUCCCAACUACAGAUGGUUGACCCUAAGGAAGAGUUCACAGUAGCUCAGGUGAAAGCUGAAAUGGAAAAGACUCUUGAGUGGCUUGUACCCCUUGCCGCUAACACAAACAAAGCACAUCAAGGUUUUGGGUGGGUUGGAGAAUGGGCAAAUACUGGAAAUGAAUUUG
RNAcentral lists this unclassified non-coding RNA (1522 nucleotides) under Hevea brasiliensis (rubber tree). Lineage: Eukaryota; Viridiplantae; Streptophyta; Magnoliopsida; Malpighiales; Euphorbiaceae. The record is from RNAcentral.